Hypoxylon sp. FL1150 is the source of this 93-nucleotide non-coding RNA. Lineage: Eukaryota; Fungi; Ascomycota; Sordariomycetes; Xylariales; Hypoxylaceae. The record is from the annotation of a GenBank genome assembly.
AGCGCUAUCGUCUAAUGGCAGGACAACACCGCGUUAUGGUUUACGAGUGAAUCAACGUCGGCGUAAAUGAUGGUUCGAUCCCAUCUGGCGCUA